UGAGUAACACGUAUGCAACCUGCCUCGCCACAGCCGGAUAAUCGGGAGAAAUUCCGUCUAAUACGGCAUAAUGCAUCGACGGGACAUCCUGUUGGUGCCAAAGGUUAAUUCCGGUGGGCGGAUGGGCAUGCGUCGCAUUAGUUAGUUGGCGGUGUAACGGACCACCAAGACGACGAUGCGUAGGGGUUCUGAGAGGAAGGUCCCCCACACUGGUACUGAGACACGGACCAGACUCCUACGGGAGGCAGCAG
RNAcentral lists this ribosomal RNA (251 nucleotides) under uncultured bacterium. RNAcentral's name for it is "partial 16S ribosomal RNA". It matches the Rfam family "Bacterial small subunit ribosomal RNA", at positions 107 to 354 of the family's 1533-position model. The record is from RNAcentral.